AGCAGCCGCGGUAAUUCCAGCUCCAAUAGCGUAUAUUAAAGUUGUUGCAGUUAAAAAGCUCGUAGUUGAACUUCGGGGUCUACCCCUUGGUCACGCUUAAUUGUCUGCACUGGUGAGAUGGAUCUCUACCUUCUGAGGAACUUUCAUGCCAUUUAUUUGGUGUGGUUGGAAAUCAGGACUGUUACUUUGAAAAAAUUAGAGUGUUUAAAGCAGACUAUCGUCUGAAUACAUUACCAUGGAAUAAUGAAAUAGGACGGACUGAUUCUAUUUCGUUGGUUUCUAGGAUCACCGUAAUGAUUAAUAGGGAUAGUUGGGGGCAUUAGUAUUCAAUUGUCAGAGGUGAAAUUCUUGGAUUUAUUGAAGACUAACUACUGCGAAAGCAUUUGCCAAGGAUGUUUUCAUUAAUCAAGAACGAAAGUUAGGGGAUCGAAGACGAUCAGAUACCGUCGUAGUCUUAACCAUAAACUAUGCCGACUAGGGAUCGGACGAAGUUAAUUUUAUAAUGACGUGUUCGGCACCUUACG
Molecule: ribosomal RNA, 524 nt
Filed under: uncultured Glomeromycotina
Lineage: Eukaryota; Fungi; Glomeromycota
Description: SSU rRNA
Rfam family: Eukaryotic small subunit ribosomal RNA
Source: RNAcentral